CCUGCAUGUGGCAAGCGCUCAGAACAGGCUACCUCCUCUUAACUGGUCAUUGCGUGUCUUUGACUCUAACCGCAAGGUGGCUGGUUGGAUUUUGCCCAUCGCCUCCACCCCCAGGCCCAUACGUACAACCUGCCGGCCACUCGGAGCUCCUAAGCCUGCCACCAGUCUUCUCUCCAGGAACCUCUCCUGGGGACAGUUAGAGGGGCGGAGCGUGUCCCAGCCAAAGACACAGCUCCGUGGCACUUUGAAACACCACUUUCCUCGGCUUCCGGAAAACCAGCGAAAUCUAUUCACGAUGGGGAAGGGCCGUGCCUUUGCAGCCACCGUUGGAACUCCUAUGGCAAAGGGCACUGCCUGGCAUGCUUGUACGUGCUCAAAAAAAAAAAAAAAAAUUUUUUUUUUUUUUUGAAUGAACACACCGUUAAACCAACAAAAUAAAAAAUAUAUAA
Molecule: long non-coding RNA, 449 nt
Organism: Herpailurus yagouaroundi (jaguarundi)
Lineage: Eukaryota; Metazoa; Chordata; Mammalia; Carnivora; Felidae
Exons: 2
Source: RefSeq, a predicted model, not a curated record